Molecule: small nuclear RNA, 102 nt
Organism: Myotis daubentonii (Daubenton's bat)
Lineage: Eukaryota; Metazoa; Chordata; Mammalia; Chiroptera; Vespertilionidae
Source: RefSeq, a predicted model, not a curated record
GUGCUCACUUCAGCAGCACAUAUACUAAAAUUAGAAUGAUACAGAGACUAGCAUGGCCCCUGUGCAAGGAUGGCAUGCAAUUGUGAAGUGUUCCAUAUUUUA